UGGGGAAUAUUGCACAAUGGGCGAAAGCCUGAUGCAGCGACGCCGCGUGAGGGAUGACGGCCUUCGGGUUGUAAACCUCUUUCAGUAGGGACGAAGCGCAAGUGACGGUACCUGCAGAAGAAGCACCGGCUAACUACGUGCCAGCAGCCGCGGUAGUACGUAGGGUGCGAGCGUUGUCCGGAAUUACUGGGCGUAAAGAGCUCGUAGGCGGUUUGUCACGUCGUCUGUGAAAUCCUAGGGCUUAACCCUGGACGUGCAGGCGAUACGGGCUGACUUGAGUACUACAGGGGAGACUGGAAUUUCUGGUGUAGCGGUGGAAUGCACAGAUAUCAGGAAGAACACCGAUGGCGAAGGCAGGUCUCUGGGUAGUAACUGACGCUGAGGAGCGAAAGCAUGGGUAGCGAACAGG
RNAcentral lists this ribosomal RNA (409 nucleotides) under bacterium. RNAcentral's name for it is "partial 16S ribosomal RNA". It matches the Rfam family "Bacterial small subunit ribosomal RNA", at positions 355 to 776 of the family's 1533-position model. The record is from RNAcentral.